UAUAGAGAAUACUACUUUAUUAUUUAGCAACAUUGCAUUGUAAUCCUCCAAGAAGUGACAUGGCUUACUCAAAUUCAUACGUGUUUCUUGGUUUGGGACUUUUUAUUAUUCUCUCUUCUCAAGUUCUAGCUCAAGUUCCUCUUCUUCUUCCUCCUCCACCUCCACCUCCUCCUCCUACAAUUAUUUGUAAGUCAUGCUAGACUAUAAUGUAUUUUUCUACGCAAAUGCACAUGUUUAAAAAAAUAUGAUUCAAUAUAUGUAUAAAUAUAACACACAUUCUAAUGAAACAUAUUAAAAUGAAAUUAAUAUAGUACUUAAGUUCUAGUUCAAUGGGUAAAUGGAAAUAAUGUUAGGUUAAACAUUUUGUCUUAGAUUUUAACCUAAGACUUCAGAGUUGCGUGUGUUAAUUAUGAUGGAAUUUACCAUUUCUUCUAAAAUAAAAUAAAAAUGAUAUUAUUAUAAAACUAGGACCCUCAAAUUAAACUUAUUAAAAUAAUAUUAAUAUUAAACUUAUAACUUUAUAAUUAUUUGGUUUCAAUUUUAGAUCCUGAAAUUGUAUUAUAUUUUAUUUUAACUCUUAUAAGUUUUUUUUUAUUUGAAUUAAGUCCUUGCAAAUAUAAAAAAUGUCGUUUUAAAUUCUUAAGUUAGUUUAUGGGAUCACAUGGUGCGACAUUAUAGGAUCACAUUUGAUCUCAAGGACUAAAUAUAAACUUUUUAAAAUUUGCUGAGAUUAAAAUCAAACAAAAACACUUAGAAUGACUAAAACCAAAAAAUAAUAUAACUGCAUGAACUAAAAUCAUAUUCAGACCUCAAACUUUUAUUAAGGUAUACGAUUUUUUAAGAAGUCAGAAAAUCAUACUUAUAAGGUUUAUAUAUAAAUUUUUAUUUCACUUUUACAUUUCUUGAUAUAAUGCAUUCUCCAAUAGAUAUUUUAAACACAAUAUGGAAACCCCAAUGACAACUGUGCAUAGUUAUGCUGGCCUGAUGCAUGAAGUGACACUUCUAGAAGCUGAAGCUGAUCGGAUGACUUUCCGUGCAAAUUUGAUAAAGAAGAAUGUUGCUAAAUCUAUUCAUCAAAGCCGUAAAUUUCUAAAUCAUUUAUUUGAUGAAGAAGAUAAAGUUUCCAAAAGUAAUGAGGAAGAUAAAGUUUCCAUAACUGAUAAGGAAGAUAAAGUUUCCAGAAAUGACAAGGAAGACAAAAUUUCAAAUAAUGAAGAGAAAAACAAAGUUUUAAAAAAUAAGGAGAAAGAGAAGGUUUUUAAAAGUGACAAGGAAGAUAAAGUUUUCAAAAAUGAUAAUAAAAAUACAAUUACAAAUUAAAAAUAAUGAAAAAAAAAUGAAGUUUACAAAUGUGACGAAGAAGAUAAACUUUCUUUAAUAUUUCCCAUGUAUUAAUAGCAUGCAAGAAUGUAUAUAUUAACUGUAUAAAUAAAAGGGUGAAAGUAGACAUUAUACUUAUAACUUGCCAUAUAUAUACAUCAAAACAUGAGUUAUAUAUAGUUCAUAUCAAUAUUUGGGUAAUGAUAUAUUGAUAUCAGAUGUCAAACAUUACAAACUUACACCUUUAAUACUUUGAAGAAGAUGAAUUAAAUUAUAUCAAUCCAAUUUGUCGAAUAAUCUUGAAUUAUGUAGAUGAUUUUAUAUACAAAACUUCAAACAAUUUAGAAACUCGUUGGUAAAAGUUUUAGUAAUAGAUAUUGUAACAUUCUGAUUUAAUUCAAACUAUUAUUAAUGAAAUUACAAACGUGAAAAAUGUGGAUUAUUAUUAUUUAAAACAAGGCUAAAAUAAAAUAAUUAUUUGAUCUAAACCAAAUAAUAAAUUUUCUUUUAUUGACUUCCACAAUAAAAACAUAGUCAUUACAAUUAAUUACAAACAAACAAGUAGUUGUGUAAAUAAAAGAACGAAAUCCUAAAGUCAAGACUCUUGGGUUUUUUCUACCCAAGAGAAAACCUAGUUGGUCACAAUUUUGAAUGCUUGUGAAAAAUUCUCAAGGCUAACACCAGUGUUAAAAAGACAAAUCAGAGCCUCCAAUUACACUAUCGUUUUACAAUUUUAAUAAUUUCCACAUAAUUUAUAUCCUUUUUUUUUAUUCAGAUAACUUAUAUACUUUCAUAAAAAUAGAGUUUGUGAUUAUCAAAUAUAUAAAUUUUCUCUUAAAUCAUAGUUAAUAUUAUAGACCCGGAACAGUUGUAAAAUGGUGAUUAGUUCUACUUUGAUUAGUAAUAAUUUUUUCAUCUCUAAAAAAAUUGUUAAGUUUUUAUGAUUAAAUUUUUGCAAAACAUUGUUUCUAUCAUAUUAUUUCUAGAGUAAAAAUUCUUAUUUAAUUAAAAACUCUAUAAUUUUUUUUCAAUAUGAUGUAUUCUUCUUAUAACCUUACAUAUUUACAAAAUUAAUACAUUAAUAAAUUAUUUAUAUCUUAUUCAAAAAAAUUUAAACCCCAUGCAAAACAUGGGUAAUAGUCUAAUAAUAUAUUAAAAUAGACUCCUAAAUACUAUUGUAACACAUCAUCUGAUAUUGUGUCAUUUCAUUCAAUAAUUGUCACCACAACAAAAAUUUGAUGUGCCAUAUGUAAUAUUAUAUAUAACUAUUCAUGUGCCAUCAUUAUUGGUAAUAAUUUUUCUAUGGUUUUAACUCCAAUUAAUAUAUUGGUCCUUUCAAUGCUUAAAUAUAUAAAUGACAACAAUUUGUGGAAGUUAUUUUGUAUCAUAUAUUGCUUAUGUUUAUUUGGAAAUUGGAAGACAAUGACACAUAAACUUUGGUCUCUAUGCAACUUUUCUAUUUAUAAGUUGUUUAGAUUGAUUGGGGACAAUUUUGUAAUUUCUAGCAUCUAAUUUUUUAUUCUUUUUAUAUUUAUUUUACGUGCUUUUUAUAAUUAAUGUUUAUAUAUUUGAGUUUUAAUUCUAACUAUAAUAUGUUAUGAUAUCUUUAUGAUCAAUUAUUGUGUAUACAUUUGGUGCAAAUACUUUUGAACAAAUUGUGCUUAUAUUUUAUUAUGAAUUAAGUUACGUGUUGUAAUACCCCAAAUUUUAUAAUAAAUAUUUUCUUAAUGAAAUAGAAUUUUGGAUAAUUAAUUUGGUGUUAAAACUAUUUUAGAAUAUAUGUGGAUAAAUCUUGUGACUAACUUUCAUUAUAUGGGAGCUUUCUAUGAUACGCUAAUUUUGUAUAUAUUUGAAUAAAUAAGUGAUAUAAAUAACAAAUAUAAUAUUUUAUAAUUUUAUAUAUUUUUAUAUUUUUUUCUAUAAAUAAUAGUAUUUUAGUGUAAAUAUUUUAAAGAAUAAGAUUUUAGGCGACUCUACAUGUAUAUGUGUGUUCGCAGUUAAUGUGAUAUUUUCUUGUAUGUUUGACUGAUGUUAAGUGUGCACAUAUUUAAUUAUUUAUAAACAUAUGUUAUUUUAAUUAUUUAUUUUACAAAUAAUUAUCUUGAUAUAUUAAUAUUUUUAAUAUUUAUUUUCUUUAUUUUUAUAUAGUUGCACAUAUUUAUUUUUAUUUAUUUUAUCAUUUUGACUAUUCUAUAAAGAUAAUGUUUUUUUAUGUGAUUAUUUUGAAAGAUGUUAUAGUAGUAAUUAUAGUUAUUAUUUUGAAUAUGAGCGUUUUGGUUAAAAUUCGAUUUAUUAUUUUAAGGAUAGAUAAUAUUAUGUUAAAAUGAGUAUUUUGGAGAAAAGUUUCUAGAAAAGUAAAAUAAACUAUUUAUUUAUUGUAGGCUUUUAGAAAUACUAGAAAAAUGAAUUUUGGACAAAACGACUGUUUACACCCCUAUUUUCUACUUAUGCAUAUUACUUUAGGCUAUUACUUGUUGGACUUUCUCUUUCCUACACCUGCGAAAUUGCUCAUUACACCUCUAUUCCUGCAAAAGACACAUACUAGACUCUCGUGUGUUGGGUCUUACAGCCUGUUUUACUCAUGUAAAAUUUAUCAUGUAACCCCAAAAAAAAAAAUUAAAAUGUCAAAAAUACCCUCAAUUAUUUUUUUAUGAUUUCACACAAUCUAAGGUAAAUUUUUUUCACCCUUUUUUUAUUUCCGGAGUCGUAAAAAAGUUUUCCGGUAUGUUCAAUUUUUCUGGUAACUAUCGGAAUACUUGUAAUAAGAUUUCGGGUACGUAAGGUAUAUUCCGGAAAACAUAAAACGAAGUUUUCCGGUACAAAAGGGAAAAGUUGUGUACCGGAAAACUUAAUUGACAAGUUAUCCGGUACAAAAUUGGCUUCCGGAAAACUUCAUAUACAAGUUUUUCGGUACAUAACUAUUUUUUAAAAUUUAUUUUUAAGUUUUUUGAAUUUUAUUAAUUUAUUUUAAAUGUUAACGGAUAUGGAUAAACUAUUACUAUUAAUGGAUAAAACAUGCGUCGAUACUACAAAUAUUUUUGACACAUAUCAGGUAAGAAUAAAUAUAAUUAAUAUUGUAAAAAUAUAUUAUUGUUAUUAAUUAUAAUUUAUUUUAUUUCAGAUAUUUGAUACAAGGGAUGCUGUUGUGAAUUGGGUAAAAGAAAUCGGUAUAAAAAUUAAUGUUAUUGUUAUUAUCAGAAGAUCAGAUAUAGAGACGGGAGAGAGAGUAAGGAGAAAUAAAUUACUAUUAAUUUGUGACAAAGGGAGAAAAUACAAGUGUGCUGCUACUUCAACUCGAAGUUCAACAAAAAAGUGUGAUUGUCCUUUCAAGCUUAGAUCAAAACCAUUAAAAGAUGGUUCAGGAUGGAUAGUUAAAGUAAUUUGUGGAAUUCACAUCCAUGAAUUACCUGAUACUUUGGAGGGGCAUGCAUAUGUUGGACGCUUAGAUGAAGAAGAAAGAAAGCAUGUUCAUGACUUAACAAAAUAUAAUGGAGCAUCGAGACACAUAUUACUCUCAUUGAAAGACCGAGAUAAGAGUAAUGUUACUAAAAUAUCAUAAAUAUAUAAAUAGAGGAGUAUGAUUCGAUUGAACGUGAGAGGUAAUAGAACAAAGAUGCAACAUUUAUUCACGUUAAUUGAAGAUGAAAAAUAUGUGUGUCGGAAUAGAAAGUGUGAAGACACUGAUGUUAUGAAAGAUAUUUUUUUGGGCACAUCUUGAUUCAGUGAAGACUUUGAUGUUAUGAGAGAUAUUCUUUACUCUUACACGGUAAAGUUCUAAAUCAAAAGACUGAGCUCUGAUACCAAUUGAAGUAGUUGGAAAAUACAAGACACGUGAGUUUGAAUUGUGUUUGCCAUUUUUGAAGGCUAUUUAGACAUCCUUACACAAAUUGUUCUUUAUCAAAACAUGCAACUUACUUUUAUAAAAAAAGGUUUAGACAGAGUAAGGUUGAAUAAUAAAUAAAUAAAUAAAUAAAUAAAUAAAUAAAUAAAUAAGAUGCGAAAAAUAGAAGAAGAUAAAAGAGACAUAUUUUUAUAAUAGUUCACAACAAAUAGUUCCUAUAUCUAGCACUCCCUUUACAAAGAGAUUUUACCUUAGCACAGUCGAUGACUUAAUCCACUAUUUCCAUAAAUAACAUAAAAGUAUUCUUUACUCUGCCUUUUUAGGCUUUUAGUAUUUUUCUCUAGCCUCUACAGGUUGUCUCCAUCAAAACCUUCUUCAACUUUCUGGCAUCUUGCCAUUAAGAUUCAUGAGAGUCGUGGUACCUUUUCACGUACCUCUUAGGGGUGAGAAGGUUGUUGUCUGAUUUGACACAAAGUUUGUUUUUCGAAUUCUAACUCUAAUUGAGAGGGUGUUACAGAUCAACUCCUCUAUCAGUACAAGUGUCAGAAAACAAGAUAUAUGAACAAGUAGUAGAUUCUAGAUGUUGAUCAGAUGAUGCACAAUUGCUUCGUCUUCUUUGGAAUGUCGAAUUUCAUCAUAGCAUUUACUUCUUUUAUAUCAUUGAUUUCCUUCAGUGCAUACGACAUAAGUUAGAAUUAUAUGAUCAGAAACUUGAAAUGAUUAUCAGUGGCAGAGAAUCACUCGCUUGUCAAGCUUAUUAGAGGCAAUUGAUUACUUGCUUUAUCAAUCGUAUCAGAGGUAGACGAGCCGAGAAUAGCUGAAACAUAAUGUAUCAUGUAUUUAUAGAGUCACUAGAACUAGAACAUUGCUUGUGUUAUAAGAGUCAGUCAAAACACAACAUUGCUUUGCGUCGUUGGAAGCGUGUGUUACAACACUUGCGUCAAAAUCAAACAAAUUGAAUGAAGUAGAGUCUUGUUGUUCCUCAGUCUUCGUACAAUCACCAGAGGAUAUAACUUAAAUCAAGGUAACAUUUGACUUUGAACUAAUACUUGCAAUAUUACGUUUUCCUCCAAUAGUAGACAUAGUUACUUGUGUAAUAGGAUAUAAUAUUCUUUGUGCAUAAGAAACACUUAGAUUAUUGUCUCUAUUUUACUUAGAACUUAUGCUACUCUAAUAUGAAUAGUCAUUAAUAUAACUCUUUGUGUUCUAACUUAAUAUGCACACUAUGCAAAUACAGACACGAGAUGAUUAUUCUUUAUUUGUUUGUUUUUGUUAUCUUAAAAUAUCUAUCAGAGGAUUGUAGCGAAAUCCCAUUUUGCACUAACACACCCUAUUAAAGUUUCUAACUCAUAGUUUAAGCUCACCAAAUUUUAAGUGUUCUCGUUAGUCAAUUAUUAUACAAAGGGCUUCACUCACAUCUAACAAGUCUUAAGAUGAUUUGUGGGAAAUACGAUUUUCACGUUUGAUUGACAUUAUUUUACACUCAUGAAAUCAAGCGGAGCAUAAUAUUAAAGUAACAUAAUUAACUAAAAAGUUAGGAAUAAAAACGAAGAUAAAAACGACACCAAAUCGAUAGUUAGAUAAAGUAUCACCGAUGCGUCGAAGCACUGACAAGAUCCGACGUCAACUUUAUCGAAAUAUGCGAAUCAGUAGAGCUGAUUGAAAGUUUCGACGAGAGGAAUCCAAAAACGAUAUCAUUUUUUUCCAAUGAUGAAUACGGAAGUCGAAAAAGGAAAGUAUUGUCCGUCUAAAUAAGAAAAUGUGAUUGUUUCUUAAAAGAGAAUAUGAGUAUAGCUUCUUCAAAGUUUCAACGAGAAAAAUCAAAAAACGAUGUCCAUUUUUUUCAAUGAUCAACACAUAGGCCGAAAAAAAAAAUACAGUCCGUCCAUUUUUACAAAGAUUAUUUUUAAGACAAUAAAAGAGAAUAUGCAUACCGAAACUAUAUUAUAUUAUUUUUACCCAAGGACAAGAAAACAUGCAUGAUUGGAGAAAAUUUUUUUGGUUUUUUUUUAUUCCUAAAUUAAAUUCAAGUCCCCAUCUUUUUGUUUCUUUAACAAAAAAUUUAACUUAAUUGAAAAAAAAAAAUCAUAGCUGAAUUAAAAAAUUAUAUUUGAACGGACACUAUCUAAAUAAGUGUUACGUUUUAAAUCGUAAUUUCUAUAUCAAUAUUUACAUGUCCUUUUGAAGUUGCUUUUGCCAAAAGGUUUGCCUUAAUUUAAUUUGAAAUUUGACUCUUGGCCCAAAAAAAGGACAUCUUCUUUCCAUAUACAUAGAGAAUACUACUUUAUUAUUUAGCAAUAUUGCAUUGUUGUAAUACUACAAGAAGUGACAUGGGUUACUCAAAACAUGCAAGUUACUUUUAUAAAAAAGGAUUAGGCAGAGUAAGGUUGAAUAAUAAAUAAAUAAAUAAAUAAAUAAAUAAAUAAGAUGCGAAAAAUAGAAGAAGAUAAAGGAGACGUAUAUUUUUAUAAUAGUUCACAACAAAUUGUUCCUAUUUCUAUUUCUCCCUUUCAAAAAGAUUUUACCUCAGUAAAGUCGAGGACUUAAUCCAUUAUUUCCAUAUAUAGCAUAAAGGUAUUCUUUACUCUGCCUUUUUAGGCUUUUAGUAUUUUUCUCUAGCCUCUCCAGAUUGUCUUCAUCAAAACCUUCUUCAACUUAUGGCAUCUUGCCAUUGAGGUUCACGAGAGUCGUGGUACCUUUUCACGUACCUCUUAGGGGUGAGAAGGUUGUUGUCACUAUCGGGCUAAUUUACAUCAGUUUUAGUUUGUGUCUGAUUUGACACAAAGUUUGUUUUUCGGAUUCUAACUCUCAUUGAGAGUAUGUUAUAGAUCAAGUCAUUUAUCAGUACAAGUGUGAGAGAACUAGAUAUAUGAACAAGUAGUAGAUUCAAGAUGUUGAUCAAAGGAAGCACAAUUGCUUCGACUUCUUUUGAAUGUUGAAUUUCAUCAUAGCGUUUACUUCUUUUAUAUCAUUGAUUUCCUUCAGUGCAUACGACAUAAGUUAGAGUUAUAUGAUCAGAAACUUGAAAUGAUUAUCAGUGGCAGAGAAUCACUCGUUUGUCAAGCUUAUUAAAGGCAAUUGAUUACUUGCUUUAUCAAUCGUAUCAGAGGUAGACGAGCUGAGAAUAACUGAAACAUAAUGUAUCAUGUAUUUUUAGAGUCACUAGAACUAGAACAUUGCUUGCGUUAUAAGAGUCAGUCAAAACGCAAUAUUGCUUUGCGUCGUUGGAAGCGUGUGUUACAACACUUGCGUCAAAAUCAAACAAAUUGAAUGAAGUAGAGUCUUGUUGUUCCUUUGUCUUCGUCCAAUCACCAGAGGAUAUAACUUAAAUCAAGGUAACAUUUGACUUUGAACUAAUACUUGCAAUAUUACAUCUUCCUCCCAUAGUAGACAUAGUUACUUGUAUAUUAGGAUAUAAUAGUCUGUAUAUAAGAAACAUUUAGAUUAUUGUCUCUAUUUUACUUGGAUCUUUUGCUACUCUAAGAUGAAUAGUCAUUAAUAUAACUCUUUGUGUUCUAACUUAAUAUGCACACUUUGCAAAUACAGAUGCAUUAUGAUUAUUCUUUAUUUGUUUGUUUUUGUUAUCUUAAAACAUCUACCAGAGGAUUGUACCAAAAACCCAUUUUGGACUAACACACCCUAUAAAAGUUUCUAACUCAUAUUUUAAGCUCACUAACUUUUAAGUGUUCUCGUUAGUCAAUUAUUAAACAAAGGGCUUCAGUCACAUGUAGUAAGUCUUAAGAUGAUUUGUGGGAAAUACGAAUUUUCCGUUCCAUUGACUUAUUUUAAACUCAUGAAUUCAAACUCACGCUCACAUCAUACAUUAAUUGACACUUUCAUAAAAUAUGUGAAUCACCAAAAGUUCCAAGCAACGCCAGCCCUACAACGUGCAAUAGAUGUGUCUGAAUGUCUCUGAAAUCAGCGAAGAAUUCAUAGGAUCACAAAAAUCGGUCUGGUAAAUCAAGCGGAGCAUAAAAUCAAAGUUACAUAAUUAACUAAAAAUUUAGCAGUAAGAACGAAGAUAAAAACGACACCAAAUCGAUAGUUAGAUAUAGUAUCACUGACGCGUCGAGGCACUGACAAGAUCUGACGUCAACUUUAUCAAAAUAUGCGAAUCAGUAGAGCUUCUUAAAAGUUUCGACGAGAGGAAUCUAACAAUAUCAUUUUUUCCAAUGAUGAAUACGGAGGUCGAAAAAGGAAAAUAUAGUCCGUCUAAAUAAGAAAAUGUGAUUGUUUCUUAAAAGAGAAUAUGAGUAAAGCUUCUUCAAAGUUUCAAUGAGAAUAAUCAAAAAACGAUGUCCAUUUUUUUCAAUGAUCAACACGGAGGCCGAAUAAGGAAAAUACAGUCUGUCCAUAUUUACAAAGAUUAUUUUUUAGACAAUAAAAGAGAAUAUGCAAUCGAAACUAUAUUAUAUUAUUUUUACCCAAGGACAAGAAAACUUGCUUGAUUGGAGAAUUUUUUUUUUUUGGUGUUUUUUUUAUUCCUAAAUUAAAUUUAAGUCCCCAUCUUUUUGUUUCUUUAAUAAAAUUUUAACUUAAUUGAAAACAAAAACAAAAAAAAUUCAUAGCUGAAUUAAAAAAAUUAAAUUUGAACGGACACUAUCUAAAUAAGUGUUACGUUUUAAAUCGUAAUUUCUAUAUCAAUAUUUACAUGUCCUUUUGAAGUUGCUUUUGCCAAAAGGUUUGCCUUAAUUUAAUUUGAAAUUUGACUCUUGGCCCAAAAAAAGGACAUCUUCUUUCCAUAUACAUAGAGAAUACUACUUUAUUAUUUGGCAACAUUGCAUUGUAAUCCUCCAAAGAAGUGACAUGGCUUACUCAAAUUCAUAUAUGUUUCUUGGUUUGGGAUUUUUUAUUAUUCUCUCUUCUCAAGUUCUAGAUCAAGUUCCUCUUCUUCCUCCUCCACCUCCACCUCCACCUCCACCUCCUCCUCCUACAAUUAUUUGUAAGUCAUGCUAGACUAUAAUGUAUUUUUCUACGUCAAAUUCACAUGUUUUAAAAAUUAUGAUUCAAUACAUGUAUAAAUAUAAGACACAUUCUAAUGAGACAUAUUAAAAUGAAAUUAAUAUAGUACUUAAGUUCUAGUUCAAUGGGUAAAUGGAAAGAAUGUUAGGUUAAACAUUUUGUCUCAGAUUUUAACCUAAGACUGCAGAGCUGCGUGUGUUAAUUAUGAUGGAAUUUACCAUUUCUUCUAAAAUAAAAUAAAAAUGAUAUUAUUAUAAAACUAAGACCCUCAAAUUAAACUUAUUAAAAUAAUAUUAAUAUUAAACUUAUAACUUUAUAAUUAUUUGAUUUCAAUAUGAUUUUAGUUCUUGAAAUUGUAUUGUUUUUUAUUUUAACUCUUAUAAGUUUUUUUUUUUUUGAAUUAAGUCCUUGCAGAUAUAAAAAAUGUCGUUUCAAAUUCUUAAGUUAGUUUAUGGGAUCACAUGGUACGACACUAUAGGAUCACAUUUGAGCUCAAAGACUAAAUAUAGAUUUUUUAAAAUUUGCUGAGAUUAAAAUCAAACAGAAACACUUAGAAGGACUAAAACCAAAAAAUAAUAUAACUGCAUGAACUAAAAUUAUAUUCAGACCUCAAACUUUUAUUAAGGUAUACGAUUUUUUAAGAAGUUAGAAAAUCAUACUUAUAAGGUUUAUAUAUAAAUUUUUAUUUCACUUUUACAUUUCUUGAUAUAAUGCAUUCUCCAAUAGAUAUUUUAAACACAAUAUGGAAACCCCAAUGACAACUGUGCAUAGUUAUGCUGGCCUGAUGCAUGAAGUGACACUUCUAGAAGCUGAAGCUGAUCGGAUGACUUUCCGUGCAAAUUUGAUAAAGAAGAAUGUUGCUAAAUCUAUUCAUCAAAGCCGAAAAUUUCUAAAUCAUUUAUUUGAUGAAGAAGAUAAAGUUUCCAAAAGUAAUGAGGAAGAUAAAGUUUCCAUAACUGAUAAGAAAGAUAAAGUUUCCAGAAAUGACAAGGAAGACAAAAUUUCAAAUAAUGAAGAGAAAAACAAAGUUUUAAAGAAUGAGGAGAAAGAGAAUGUUUUUAAAAGUGACAAGGAAGAUAAAGUUUUCAAAAAUGAUAAUAAAAAUACAAUUACAAAUUAAAAAUAAUGAAAAAAAAAAUGAAGUUUACAAAUGUGACGAAGAAGAUAAACUUUCUUUAAUAUUUCCCAUGUAUUAAUAUAGCAUGCAAAAAUUUAUAUAUUAACUGUAUAAAUAAAAGGGUGAAAGUAGACAUUAUACUUAUAACUUGCCAUAUAUAUACAUCAAAACUUGAGUUAUAUAUAGUUCAUAUCAAUAUUUGGGUAAUGAUAUAUUGAUAUAUAUCAGAUGUCAAACAUUACAAACUUACACCUUCAAUACCUCUUUGAAGAAGACGAAUUAAAUUAAAUCAAUCCAAUUGUUGAAUAUUCUUGAAUUAUGUUGAUGAUCUUAUAUACAAAACUUCAAACAAUUUAGAAACUCGUUGGUAAAAGUUUUAGUAAUAGAUAUUGUAACAUUCUGAUUUAAUUCAAACUAUUAUUAACGAAAUUACAAACAUGAAAAAUGUGGAUUAUUAUUAUUAUUUAAAACAAGGCUAAAAUAAAAUAAUUAUUUGAUCUAAACCAAAUAAUAAAUUUUCUUUUAUUGACUUCCACAAUAAAAACAUAGUCAUUACGAUUCCAAACAAACAAGUAGUUGUGUAAAUAAAAGAACGAAAUCCUACAGUCAAGACUCUUGGAUUUUUUCUACCCAAGAGAAAACCUAGUUGGUCACAAUUUUGAAUGCUUGUGAAGAAUUCUCAAGGCUAACACCAGUGUUAAAAAGAAAAAUCAGAGCCUCCAAUUACACUAUCAUUUCACAAUUUUAAUAAUUUCCACAUAAUUUAUAUCCUUUUUUUUAUUCAGAUAACUUAUAUACUUUCAUAAAAAUAGAGUUUG
Molecule: long non-coding RNA, 12058 nt
Filed under: Cicer arietinum (chickpea)
Lineage: Eukaryota; Viridiplantae; Streptophyta; Magnoliopsida; Fabales; Fabaceae
Description: long non-coding RNA (CARI_LNC003030)
Source: RNAcentral